Molecule: ribosomal RNA, 486 nt
Filed under: uncultured bacterium
Lineage: Bacteria
Description: partial 16S ribosomal RNA
Rfam family: Bacterial small subunit ribosomal RNA
Source: RNAcentral
AUUGAACGCUGGCGGCAUGCCUUACACAUGCAAGUCGAACGGCAGCACGGGUGCUUGCACCUGGUGGCGAGUGGCGAACGGGUGAGUAAUACAUCGGAACAUGUCCUGUAGUGGGGGAUAGCCCGGCGAAAGCCGGAUUAAUACCGCAUACGAUCUACGGAUGAAAGCGGGGGACCUUCGGGCCUCGCGCUAUAGGGUUGGCCGAUGGCUGAUUAGCUAGUUGGUGGGGUAAAGGCCUACCAAGGCGACGAUCAGUAGCUGGUCUGAGAGGACGACCAGCCACACUGGAACUGAGACACGGCCCAGACUCCUACGGGAGGCAGCAGUGGGGAAUUUUGGACAAUGGGCGAAACCCUGAUCCAGCAAUGCCGCGUGUGUGAAGAAGGCCUUCGGGUUGUAAAGCACUUUUGUCCGGAAAGAAAUCCUUGGCCCUAAUACGGUCGGGGGAUGACGGUACCGGAAGAAUAAGCACCGGCUAACUACGUG